Long non-coding RNA from Sycon ciliatum, 1344 nucleotides. RefSeq lists it as uncharacterized. The record is from RefSeq and is a predicted model, not a curated record. NCBI's taxonomy places the organism in Eukaryota, Metazoa, Porifera, Calcarea, Leucosolenida, Sycettidae. The transcript has 4 exons.
AGAAGAGUUGACCACCUUUCUAAAAUUUCCCCUCGCGCACCUUCAAUUUCUGGCUUCAUUCACCCAAGAGGUUUGUUUUCUUCGAUAAUCAUAGCUGUCAUCAUGCCGUUUUGAUACCGGCGCGCCUAGGGUUGUUGAAUGUAGAUGAAGUCAGCAAGGCAGGCAAAGCUGUGGUAGCGACGGUAGUUCCGCAGUCUGUCCGGGUGACGGUAAGGGCCAACCUCGUUUGGUGAAUCAAGCACGCCGUUGGAAUCUUGCGCUCUAGCCUAGCUUGGCUUUGAACAGCGCUCAGUCAAGAGAAUCGGCCGGGCUACGCUUGAAGACUACUCGUCGCGGCUAGGGAGUUUGGGCGCAGGGAACCACGGGUGCUGCCAGUCGCGUCCUGCAACAGGAAAUUUGUCCAAAUACCUGAGAAGCCGUCCCAUCGAAUUUCGAAGUACUUGGCAUGGGCAUGUAAAUUGGAAAAUUGGCUACGCGUAUAUAAUGUGUAUUCGCAAGAGUCCCUAACCAAAGGUGAAUUGACUGCUUACUAAAUGUGACCCCAACCAGGGUUUACAGAUGGCCGGUAAGUAAAGUUCAAUUUAGGUGAAUGUAAAAUGAAUCUGCCUCCCAAUAUUCAGGCAGUCCAUCAUCGGUUUCGAGGAUGCAUUCAUCCGUCCUUCCGACCACCCAUGUAUUCAUCCCUCCCUCUGUCCAUUCUUCUAUCCGUUCAUCCUUCCGUCCGUCUGUCCAUCUUUCCAUUUCACCUGAUCGCGCUCGUUUUAUGCAUACAUCUAUCCAUCCAUUCAUCCGCCAAUCAAUCACCCUUCAGUAUUUAUGUACCAAGCAAUCUGUCGGUGCAUCCGUCAUCGCUUCUGUCGGUGUGUCUGUCAGGCCGUCAGAGCAUCCACCGGUCUGUAUGUGUUUUUCGGCCCAUUGAAAUGUCGGCCUACCAUCGCGAAAACACAGUUCGGCCGCAACAAAUUUUCAGCCUGUACCGCUGCUGCCUGUCUACAUAGUCACACUGAACCUUGCAAAACGAAAUAUACACAACCCUCCAGGCCUUCAUGGCAUCAUCCUUCCACCUCAUAAUUAUGUCCUCGUUCACUUCAUCCCUCCAUCUCUCCAGCAAUCCAUCCAUUGGCCCAUCCAUCCACCCACCGAUCAAACCACCCAACUACUCAACCAUCCAUCCAUCCAUCCAUCAAUCCAUGCUUCCAUUCAUCCAUCCAUCCACCCAUGCAUCCACCAAUGCAUCCAUCCAUCCACAUACCUGUCCACCUAUCCACCCACCACCAAAUCUAUCCAUCCCUCCAUCCCUCCAUCCAUCCAUCCAUCCCUCCAUCCGUCCGUCCAUCCGUCCGU